Molecule: ribosomal RNA, 466 nt
Filed under: Thalassomonas sp. HR08-34
Lineage: Bacteria; Pseudomonadati; Pseudomonadota; Gammaproteobacteria; Alteromonadales; Colwelliaceae
Description: bacterial SSU rRNA
Rfam family: Bacterial small subunit ribosomal RNA
Source: RNAcentral
AAUGCUUGGGAAUAUGCCUAGAGGUGGGGGACAACAGUUGGAAACGACUGCUAAUACCGCAUAAUGUCUACGGACCAAAGGAGGGGAUCUUCGGACCUUUCGCCUUUAGAUUAGCCCAAGUGAGAUUAGCUAGUUGGUGGGGUAAAGGCCUACCAAGGCGACGAUCUCUAGCUGGUUUGAGAGGAUGAUCAGCCACACUGGGACUGAGACACGGCCCAGACUCCUACGGGAGGCAGCAGUGGGGAAUAUUGCACAAUGGGGGAAACCCUGAUGCAGCCAUGCCGCGUGUGUGAAGAAGGCCUUCGGGUUGUAAAGCACUUUCAGNNGNGAGGANAGGUUAGUAGUUAAUACCUGCUAGCUGUGACGUUANCGACAGAAGAAGCACCGGCUAACUCCGUGCCAGCAGCCGCGGNAAUACGGAGGGUGCGAGCGUUNNUCGGAAUUACUGGGCGUAAAAGCGNGCGUA